Long non-coding RNA from Vespa mandarinia (Asian giant hornet), 2169 nucleotides. Lineage: Eukaryota; Metazoa; Arthropoda; Insecta; Hymenoptera; Vespidae. The record is from RefSeq and is a predicted model, not a curated record.
GUUCUAAAUACCGAACAAUAUUUAUGCAUAGUUUGUUGCAUCGAUUGUCUAAGCUCGACAACAGGGAUGCAACCUUUUGCAUAACGAGUCGCAUCGAAUCGACAAAUUGAUUGUUCACCUAUAUCCUUGAUUCAAUUGACCAGGAAUAUCAUCGUGCCGUUCACCAGGUCGAGUAAGGCAAUCAAUUUGAUCGGCAAUUGCUUUACCAAAAACGAUGAUUUCUAAUAAACUGUUAGCUCCAAGUCUAUUGGCACCAUGAACAGAUGCACAUGCAGUUUCACCAGCUGCCCAUAAUCCAUCUAUCACACUAUCUUCUUCAUUUUCACGCGUUAAUACCUGUUUUAUAUAAGUCAUCCGCGUCAUAGAUAUUCAUUUAUACGUUUUCAAGUUUAUCUAAAGUUCAUUAAAUCGUUUAAACAAAUUCUAACUUGAGCUCGCCAAUUCGUAGGUAUGCCACCCAUAUUGUAAUGGACCGUUGGUAUGACCGGUAUGGAAUCUUUCGUAACGUCAACGCCAGAAAAUACCCACGCCAAAUGUGAGAUACCUGGUAACUUGCUUUGUAUCGUUUCAAUCGGUAAAUGAUUUAGUUGAAGAUGCACAUGAUCUUUCUUUGGACCUACACCUCUAUAUACAAAGAAAAGCAUAAAUGAAGAAAGAAAGAAAAUUUGCGUUUCAUGUGGAAAUAGAUGAGAAUCACCUUCCUUCGAUUAUUUCUAUGGUAAUAGCUCUGGAAACGACGUCACGUGAUGCUAAAUCCUUAGCUAUUGGGGCGUAUCUUUCCAUGAAAAAUUCACCUUGAGAGUUUACUAAUUUACCACCUUCGCCUCUACUACCUUCCGUUAUUAAUAUGCCAGUUCCAUACAUUCCUAUGGUACAAAAAAAAAAAACAUCGAAAUUAUUUAAUGUAUGAUUUAUUUUGAGAUGAUUAUUAUAACUUUUAGCAAUAAUAUAUACCUGUAGGAUGAAACUGUAUAAAUUCCAUAUCCUGUAAUGGCAAUCCUGCUCUAGAGAUCAUAGCCAUGCCAUCACCAGUGCAAGAAUGUGCACCUGUGCACGAUAAAUAACAUCUACCAGCACCACCUGAAGCUAUAACCUUAGGUAUGGAAAAUGUAAAUUAGUAUUAAUAAUAUUCAUUGGUAUAAAGAAAAGGAAAAAAAAAAAAAGAAGAAGAAGAAGAAGAUGAGCCCAAUGAAUGAGACAAGUACCGUGUGAUGAGCUCUAAAACGAUGAAGUAUACCAGUUUCCAGUUCCCAAGCAAGAAUUCCUUUGCAACACCGACCGUGCAUUAAAAGAUCAAGUGCAAAGUAUUCAACAUAAUAAUGAACGUCAUAUCGAAGGCUUUGUCCGUAUAAAGUAUGGAGAACAGCGUGUCCAGUUCUAUCUGCUACAGCACAAGUUCGAUGUGCUUGACCACCUUUUCCAAAUUUUAACGAUUGCCCACCGAAUGCACGUUGAUAAAUUUUGCCAGACUCGUUACGACUGAAUGGACAUCCUAAAGAAAUCUCAUAAAUUGCACGAGGUGCUUCUCUGGUAAGAAAGUGUAUAGCAUCCUGAUCUCCUAGCCAAUCGGAUCCUUUGACAGUGUCGUACAUAUGAUAAAGCCAGCUGUCCUCGUGUUCGCUCGCUAUCGCGGCAUUUAUACCACCUUGAGCAGCUACUGUAUGCGAUCUCGUUGGAAAGAGUUUAGUUAUUACCGCGACACGGUAUCCUUUACUCCCUAAACCAAAUGCUGCUCUUAGACCUGCACCACCUGCUCCUAAUAUCGCUACGUCAUAACAGUGAUCUAUUACUGGAUGGGCUGACAUUGACAUGAAAUUUUUUGCCACUUAUUCUCCAUGCUGACUUCGUCCACUGAUUGCAAGAGAAAAGAAUUAAAUGUGAUUAUAUUACGUAAAUUACAAUUUUUUUCUUUAAUUCUUUUUUGUUUCGUUUUGUAAGUUAUCUAAUGUAUAUAUUUUUAAUUACCCUUGAAUGAAGUGGUAUAAACUUUCUUAGAUGUCGAGCUAACAUUUUCAAGGAAUACAGAAUCUUUUUUUCUGAUACAGUCUGAUAACCUUAAUUCUAUGUUGUUAUUUUCAUUUGUUAAUAUUAACAAAGAAAAUACGAGCAUUUAUUAUGUUACUCUCGAAAAAUUUUACAGACGAGAUUGAGAAAGUGAAAUAAAUGAAA